This 253-nucleotide ribosomal RNA is filed under the name uncultured bacterium. RNAcentral's name for it is "partial 16S ribosomal RNA". It matches the Rfam family "Bacterial small subunit ribosomal RNA", at positions 524 to 776 of the family's 1533-position model. The record is from RNAcentral.
UACGGGGGGGGUAAGCGUUGUUCGGAAUUACUGGGCGUAAAGGGCUCGUAGGCGGCCAACUAAGUCAGACGUGAAAUCCCUCAGCUUAACUGGGGAACUGCGUCUGAUACUGGAUGGCUUGGAUCCGGGAGAGGGAUGCGGAAUUCCAGGUGUAGCGGUGAAAUGCGUAGAUAUCUGGAGGAACACCGGCGGCGAAGGCGGCAUCCUGGACCGGUAUUGACGCUGAGGAGCGAAAGCCAGGGGAGCAAACGGG